GACGAACGCUGGCGGCGUGCUUAACACAUGCAAGUCGAACGAAAAGGCCCUGCUUUUGUGGGGUGCUCGAGUGGCGAACGGGUGAGUGACACGUGAGUAAACUGCCCUUGACUUUGGGAUAACUUCAGGAAACUGGGGCUAAUACCGGGUAGGAGCUCCUGCUGCAUGGUGGGGGUUGGAAAGUUUCGGCGGUUGGGGAUGGAAUCGCGGCUUAUCAGCUUGUUGGUGUGGUAGUAGCUUACCAGGGCUUUGACGGGUAGCCCGCCUGAGAGGGUGACCGGCCACAUUGGGACUGAGAUACGGACCAGACGCCUACGGGAGGCAGCAGUGGGGAAUAUUGCAGAAUGGGCGGAAGCCUGAUGCAGCAACGCCGCGUGCGGGAUGACGGCCUUCGGGUUGUAAACCGCUUUCGCCGGUGACGAAGCGGGCGUGACGGUAAUGGGUCAAGAAGCCACGGCUAACUACGUG
RNAcentral lists this ribosomal RNA (468 nucleotides) under uncultured bacterium. Its description in RNAcentral is "partial 16S ribosomal RNA". It matches the Rfam family "Bacterial small subunit ribosomal RNA", at positions 28 to 507 of the family's 1533-position model. The record is from RNAcentral.